UACGUAGGGGCCUAGCGUUGUCCGGAUUUAUUGGGCGUAAAGAGCUUGUAGGUGGUUCGGUAAGUCGGAUGUGAAAUCUCCAGGCUCAACCUGGAGGGGUCAUUCGAUACUGCCGUGACUAGAGUUCGGUAGAGGAGUGUGGAAUUCCUGGUGGAGCGGUGAAAUGCGCAGAGAUCAGGAGGAACACCCGUAGCGAAGGCGGCACUCUGGGCCGAUACUGACACUGAGGAGCGAAAGCGUGGGGAGCGAACAGG
RNAcentral lists this ribosomal RNA (254 nucleotides) under uncultured bacterium. Its description in RNAcentral is "partial 16S ribosomal RNA". It matches the Rfam family "Bacterial small subunit ribosomal RNA", at positions 524 to 776 of the family's 1533-position model. The record is from RNAcentral.